Molecule: ribosomal RNA, 502 nt
Filed under: uncultured bacterium
Lineage: Bacteria
Description: bacterial SSU rRNA
Rfam family: Bacterial small subunit ribosomal RNA
Source: RNAcentral
GAUGAACGCUAGCGGCAGGCUUAACACAUGCAAGUCGAGGGGCAGCGCGGUGUAGCAAUACAUUGGCGGCGACCGGCGCACGGGUGCGUAACACGUAUGGAACUUACCCUUUACUGGGAGAUAGCCCGGAGAAAUCCGGAUUAAUAUCCCAUAAUAAACGAAGUGGCAUCACUUUGUUUUGAAAGCUCCGGCGGUAAAGGAUGGCCAUGCGCACGAUUAGCUAGUAGGUGAGGUAACGGCUCACCUAGGCUACGAUCGUUAGGGGGCCUGAGAGGGUUAUCCCCCACACUGGUACUGAGACACGGACCAGACUCCUACGGGAGGCAGCAGUGAGGAAUAUUGCGCAAUGGAGGCAACUCUGACGCAGCCAUGCCGCGUGCAGGAAGAAGGCGCUACGCGUUGUAAACUGCUUUUAACCGGGAAAGAAACGAGUGGACUUGUCCGCUCCUGACGGUACCUGGGGAAUAAGCACCGGCUAACUCCGUGCCAGCAGCCGCGGUAA